AAAACAAAGUAGCAUCUGAAAUGCAUUAGUUAUUAGAGCAGUAUUGAAACCUGUCUGAGAACAUUGCCAAGAAUGAUUUUCGUAUCCACUUUACACUCCCUCCCGUGAUCUUUUUCAGGCAUGAGGGAAAGAGAAGGCACACUGAGUUGGAAACUCCAGACAGAGGGAUCAUGGUGAGAAGCAGUACUGCCUUCAUCACUGUGAUGCUGAAAUACAUCAGGUCCACUGUGUCAUGUGGAAAGCUUUCAAGAGAAAAGGCAUCAUUCUAUCUGAAAGAGAUUCUGCACAGCAUCUUCUUUCUUGGCUACAUUAACAGACCACGGUUUUAUCCUGAAGAUGUUCUGUCUGAGGAAAAUGCCUUAAAUCUGAGAGAAACAUUUCCAGAUAUGUUCCAGACAUACAUGACUCACCUGCCCUCAAGACCACCCUACUCAGCUUUACUGGAUGUGGUACAGAAACCGAAAUUACUUUUGCUCAAAACAUUCAGUACUUUGUUUUGCAGAGUUUCUCAAAUUGUUUUAUUCCUCUCCAAGGUUGUUGAAACUACUGGAACAUCUGAUUCUGCUGCGGAUCAAGACGAAUAUGAAGUGCUUGAUAAACUGUUGGACUUGAAUAAGGAAAUGUAUGUGCCUCAACACCAGAAUACGUCAAUGGCGAGUGAAAACGCAUUUUGUUUAGCAUCAGCUGUGGUGAGUUACUGCUUUUUCCUAGAUUUUCUUACCGGUCAAAAGACCAAGAAGUACUUUGGAGCACCCAUAGCCUGCAAGGGAAAAGCUCAGCGGGAGAUCUUUAUUGACCUAUCCUGCAUCAAGACGUGGAAUCGGAACGUGGCCUUGUCCGUGUGUUUGAUGGCCAGUGGGUACCCUCCAAUCUUACUUCCUCAGUUUGUGCACUCUGCUGCAUUUCGUAUACUCAGCAGCAGGGAGGAGAAGCAGGCGAGUGCCAUACCAUGCAUUUCUGAAAAACAGCAGUCUUGUGGUCAAAGGUUUGAAGGAAAUGCGAGCAGUGGCUUUAGCUGUCAGCGCUCCACCUCUGACACAGUUGAACACAUGUCAUCUCAGGCACCAAACAGAGAGCUGAGCUUCAGGUAACUCCCCGUGCAAAGCUCCCAAACAGACAUGUUAGUGUUUCACUACCAUCCAAAACCUCCAUGUUUCAGAUGUUUGAAGAUCUUCCCAAACGUAGUAUUUUCAUCCCUGCCACAUGUUUUACCUGUUCCAUAUUGGGAGUAUGGGAACUGUGCGGAAUGUGAAGCUCUAAGUAAACUGCUGAACGCGGAGCAAAGUGUUAAUAUGAGAGUGUUAAUGCCUUCUAUAAUUAUGGGACUGGAGUUUCUGCACUUCAGUCCAUCUUUGUCUCCCUUUGAGUUCAUACUUCUCCCAAGAAAAUGUCGACUGGCAGACAAUCUUACAGCAGCCAGGUUUGAGUUUAGGGGAUAUUUCCAAUUUUAUGAUCCUCAGCUGUGAAGUUGCUGUUAAAGAACUGCAGCUCUUGGUUAAGCCUGUUACAAGAACUACGCAUGUCCAGGCUUUCUAUGCCAUUCUCCUGGGUUAUAAAAUCAUUACCAGUCAUUAUUUCUUGCAAAUAAGGUAAAAACCUGACUAAAAUAUGGGUCUCCGGUCCCACCUUUAUCACGUUUACCUGAUACAGUCAUAUAAAUCUGUGAUGUGUGUUACUGUUGACACAUUUUUUAGCUACAGUGUCCAGGAGGGGUGGGCAGCUGCUGGCACUUGGACCCCCAGCAGUUUAUUUUUCUCUUCCGUUUCGGUGGGGAGUUUUUUGCUUUCUUUUUCUUUGUGGCCAGUUGGCUUACUUUGUAGCUUUACUAGCUAGUAUAGUUUUUAUAGUCAUUUAAUGCAUAGCUAACAUUUUACUACUGCCUCUUGAUCAGAAGAUUGUAUAAGAAUAUUUAAUAAUUCAAUGGAAUAGCAUUGUGCUUGGUGAAGGUUUGCCUGUCUUUUUCCAUGUCUCGUAGUCUGUAUAAUUUUCAUCAGUUAUUUAUAUUUUUAUAUACACUUUUCACACUCUUGUUUUUAUAUUUGGCCUUUUACUGUUCAUACUGUGUAAAACUGUGUUCUGUGUUUAAUAAAAACUGCUAAGUAAAUGAGAGCA
This 2112-nucleotide long non-coding RNA is filed under the name Scleropages formosus (Asian bonytongue). Its description in RNAcentral is "lncRNA (ENSSFOG00015031383.1)". Lineage: Eukaryota; Metazoa; Chordata; Actinopteri; Osteoglossiformes; Osteoglossidae. The record is from RNAcentral.